RNAcentral lists this ribosomal RNA (253 nucleotides) under uncultured bacterium. RNAcentral describes it as "partial 16S ribosomal RNA". It matches the Rfam family "Bacterial small subunit ribosomal RNA", at positions 524 to 776 of the family's 1533-position model. The record is from RNAcentral.
GACGGGGGGUGCAAGCGUUAUUCGGAAUCACUGGGCGUAAAGCGCGCGCAAGCGGCCGUUUAAGUCAGAUGUGAAAGCGCGGGGCUCAACCCCGGAAGUGCAUUUGAUACUAUUCGGCUUGAGUAUGGGAGAGGGAAGUGGAAGUCCUGGUGUAGAGGUGAAAUUCGUAGAUAUCAGGAGGAACACCGGUGGCGAAGGUGAUUUCCUGGAACAAUACUGACGAUGAGGCGCGAAGGCGUGGGGAGCAGACAGG